This 479-nucleotide ribosomal RNA is filed under the name uncultured bacterium. Its description in RNAcentral is "partial 16S ribosomal RNA". It matches the Rfam family "Bacterial small subunit ribosomal RNA", at positions 28 to 523 of the family's 1533-position model. The record is from RNAcentral.
GACGAACGCUGGCGGCGUGCUUAACACAUGCAAGUCGAACGAUGAACCCGGAGCUUGCUCCGGUGGAUUAGUGGCGAACGGGUGAGUAACACGUGAGUAACCUGCCCUUGACUCUGGGAUAACUGCGGGAAACUGUAGCUAAUACCGGAUACGACCCUCGGCGGCAUCGCCAGGGGGUGGAAAGAAUUUCGGUCAAGGAUGGGCUCGCGGCCUAUCAGCUAGUUGGUGAGGUAACGGCUCACCAAGGCGACGACGGGUAGCCGGCCUGAGAGGGUGACCGGCCACACUGGGACUGAGACACGGCCCAGACUCCUACGGGAGGCAGCAGUGGGGAAUAUUGCGCAAUGGACGACAGUCUGACGCAGCGACGCCGCGUGGUCGAAGAAGCCCCUCGGGGUGUAAAGACCUUUUUUAGGGGACGAUUGUGACGGUACCCUAAGAAUAAGAGCCUGCUAACUACGUGCCAGCCGCCGCCGUAA